GAUGAACGCUAGCGGCAGGCCUAACACAUGCAAGUCGAGGGGUAGAAGGAGCUUGCUCCUUUGAGACCGGCGCACGGGUGCGUAACGCGUAUGCAAUCUACCUUGUACAGGGGAAUAGCCCAGAGAAAUUUGGAUUAAUGCCCCAUAGUAUAUAACCUUCGCAUGUUGGUUAUAUUAAAGUUCCAACGGUACAAGAUGAGCAUGCGUCCCAUUAGUUAGUUGGUAAGGUAACGGCUUACCAAGACGAUGAUGGGUAGGGGUCCUGAGAGGGAGAUCCCCCACACUGGUACUGGGACACGGCCCAGACUCCUACGGGAGGAAGCAGUGAGGAAUAUUGGUCAAGGGUCGCAAGACUGAACCAGCCAUGCCGCGGGCAGGAAGACGGUCCUUUGGAUUGUAAACUGCUUUUAUACAGGAAAAAACCCUCCCACGUGUGGGAGCUGGGCGGUACUUAAGGAAUAAGGAUCGGCUAACUCCGU
Molecule: ribosomal RNA, 479 nt
Filed under: uncultured bacterium
Lineage: Bacteria
Description: partial 16S ribosomal RNA
Rfam family: Bacterial small subunit ribosomal RNA
Source: RNAcentral